Long non-coding RNA from Dioscorea cayenensis subsp. rotundata (Guinea yam), 894 nucleotides. RefSeq lists it as uncharacterized. NCBI's taxonomy places the organism in Eukaryota, Viridiplantae, Streptophyta, Magnoliopsida, Dioscoreales, Dioscoreaceae. The record is from RefSeq and is a predicted model, not a curated record. The transcript is spliced from 5 exons.
UGUGCCGUCGAUGUCCCGGAGGAUGAAGCCGCCGCCGGUGCUGUCAAAGUCGGUCUGAUGGUAUGAGCCUGUGACUUCCACCCAUCUGGAGCCGCUUGGGAUUCUCAAUCUGGUGUGGUUCAUCAUCAAGGCCAACCUCACCCUCUGCUGCUGUUCACCAUCAAAGGAUGCCCUCAUUAUACAUUAUACUGAUGAAAAUGCAAUCCAGAAGGAAAUGAAGAACGCCCACAUUGCAUUCAUCUGAAUCCUGAUAAGUCGUGCACCACUUUCUAGAAGGCAUUAUGAGCAAAACCAGUUCAGGAGUUGCACAUGUUAGACUUAUUAGUGAAGCGAAGCAAACUGCUCAUCUGGUGAUGGUGAAUAUGCAAGCAUCCUUCCAAAGAAGGCUUUGGGGAAGCUUGCUUCUUCGAUAAUCUCAGACUCGUGGGGAAGGGAAAUCAUUUCUGAGAAAUCAAUAACCAAGAGUAUUUUCCUUAUGCAGAUAUGUGUUAUGAUGUUGGAAACUCUAAACAGAAAGAAGCAGGCACAAGAUCUUCACUCAUUGGAGAGCCUGGUGCUUGGAAAAUAUCUUUCCACUCCUUCCAUUUACUCGAAAUAAGAUUAUGGCACAUGACUCUGCUACUGAACACUUGAAGCUUACCAUCACUCUCUUGCAUGGAGAACAUGGUCCACAGGCAUGAGAACAAUCUGGCAAGCUCGACCCCGUCGUAUGUAUCUCCUUCACAGCGUCCUGAUCUCUGUCACUCUGCAUAUAAACAAGAUGGACCAUUGAAGCUUCAAGGGAUGGCAAAAGAUUAACAGAGAUUAGUUCAUAAACCAAAUUGGCUAUGAGAUAAGGUAUGUAUAAUGCUAACUAUAAAUACAGAAUUUACCAGGAUUCAGUCGUAGACUUUC